GAUGAAGAACGCAGCGAAAUGCGAUAAGUAAUGCUAAUUGCAGAAUUCAGUGAGUCAUCGAAUCUUUGAACGCACAUUGCGCCCUGUGGUAUUCCGCAGGGCAUGCCUGUUCGAGCGUCAUUUCAACCCUCAAGCUCUGCUUGGUGUUGGGCCCUGCCCGCUGCGGCCGGCCCUAAAGACAGUGGCGGUGCCGCCUGGCCCUGAGCGUAGUACAUCUCUCGCUCCAGUGCCCGGUGGUAGCCUGCCAGAACCCCAACUCUCGUGGUUGACCUCGGAUCAGGUAGGGAUACCCGCUGAACUUAAGCAUAUCAAUAAGCGGAGGA
Molecule: unclassified non-coding RNA, 323 nt
Filed under: soil metagenome
Description: partial contains 5.8S ribosomal RNA, internal transcribed spacer 2, and large subunit ribosomal RNA
Rfam family: 5.8S ribosomal RNA (bases 1-120)
Source: RNAcentral